AUUGAACGCUGGCGGCAGGCCUAACACAUGCAAGUCGAGCGAGCGGCGGACGGGUGAGUAAUGUAUGGGGACUGCCCGAUAGAGGGGGAUAACUACUGGAAACGGUAGCUAAUACCGCAUACUAUCGGAUAACCCAUAUGGGAUUAGCUCGUAGGUGGGGUAAGGGCUCACCUAGGCGACGAUCCCUAGCUGGUCUGAGAGGAGGAUCAGCCAAACUGGGACUGAGAAACGGCCCAGACUCCUAGGGAGGAAGAAGGGGGGAAUAUGGCACAAGGGGGGCAAGCCUGAUGCAGCCAUGCCGCGUGGAUGAAGAAGGCCCUAGGGUUGUAAAGUCCUUUCAGUCGGGAGGCGUUACCGACAGAAGAAGAACCGGCUAACUCCGUGCCAGCAGCCGCGGUAAUA
RNAcentral lists this ribosomal RNA (402 nucleotides) under uncultured bacterium. Its description in RNAcentral is "partial 16S ribosomal RNA". It matches the Rfam family "Bacterial small subunit ribosomal RNA", at positions 29 to 525 of the family's 1533-position model. The record is from RNAcentral.